Phyllostomus discolor (pale spear-nosed bat) is the source of this 8515-nucleotide long non-coding RNA. RefSeq lists it as uncharacterized. The transcript is spliced from 2 exons. NCBI's taxonomy places the organism in Eukaryota, Metazoa, Chordata, Mammalia, Chiroptera, Phyllostomidae. The record is from RefSeq and is a predicted model, not a curated record.
UGAGAUUCUUCAACGCACAGAAUACAAUGAGGUGCAUUAGGAAAGUCCAUGGGUAUCUCUUGGAAUCCAGGGAGCUCUAUACAGAAAUUAACAUGCUGACCUACUCAUCUUUGAUCUUACCCUUAAGGGUAUUUGCGAUAACAAUGUACUAUAAUCGAUUUAUCUUACCAAAUAUAGUAAGUACUCAGAGGCUGUAUCCAAACCUAAAAAUGUUAAUAGCUCAAAACUAAAAGUGAGUCUAAAUUAAAUCAUAAUAGGGUUUACUUUAAAGAGGUUUAUUUUUUACUUCUUUGCUGAAUAUAAUGUUUUUAUGAUUUAAUAGUUGUUAAUUAGAUACAUGCAUCAAGAGAACGAAAUGAGAAAAUAAAAUAGUUCUGAAAAGAAUUAUUUCUUUAUUUUCUCUGAACUUAUUGCUACAAUCCCAUGUGCCUGACAAAGCUACGUGCACGUGGGCGUUCUCUGCAGAGCUGUAGUUGUACCAUCUCAGAAAGUGACGGGCGGGGAGGGGGGAACGUAAGGCUGAGCCUGACCUCGGGGAGCACUAUACCAGGCGCACUUCCUGAAGCUGCAGUGGGAAGUGGGACUCACUGUGUGUGGGGACCAUGGUGAGGCUGACUCCCACAGUUCACAACCCCCCUGGGAGAGCCCCAGAACAGCAGAGUCCUUCUACAUUUACUCCUGAACAAUCACAUAAAAGAGAAGGGGAGGUCAAUCUUCAGGAUAUGAUCAAUACCAUCAGGAAAUUAUUAUUGUUGACAGCACAAGAAUGAGGUUUCCAUGAUGUAAACAUGGACACAAGAGAAUGGCUCAAAUAAGUUCAAGUAUUCUGUGGCCUCUGGGUCUUUCUUUGAGGACUUCAGAAUUUUAGAACAAGUGAUUGAGAAGUUAGCUGGCCUUCUGACCCCAGGUGGAUGAGAGAACAAAAUACUAUUUAUAGGUUCUUGUCUAUACACAACUUUAUUUAAAAUGAACUUAAUCAAUCUGACUCAAUGUAGACCCAAUUUGGCAACUAACAUAAUCUUGGGCUGUGUCAAGGACACUGGUCUGGGCCAGUGGGGCUCUCAGUCUGUCACCUGUUAGCUGUGGGAUCUGGGACUUCUUGGCUUUCAUCUGCCUCAUCCAUCAAGUUAAACUAAAGGUUGAGGCUGAGCCAUGUGUGUAUGGAAAAUAAUUUAGUAAUUAAUAAAGAAUAAUAAGAGGAUAAACUCUGUUUCUCAUACAACUGUAAAGCUGCUUUUGCCCACCCUGUACUAUACAUGCCAUCCUCCUUGCUUUGUAGCUUAGGAGCAUCAUAUCUUAACAUUCUCCCUCACAGAUGUUCAUAACGUGCUGUUGGUAUUGAUGUCUCGCUGUAUGCUGCUGCUGAACUAUGCACAAUUGCCAGAUUCAAGGAUGCUAAAUCCUUUAUUUGCUCUGUGAGUUUGGGGACUACUAGCAUAGGUACAUUUCAGUCAAGACUUACUAAAAAAAAAUUUCUCUAAAAUCAGUAUUUGGAACUAGUUUCCCCACUAAGUCUACCAGUGUACUUGGAUUGAAAGGUAAUUGUUUGAUUUCCACUUCCUAAAAUGUGGAGCGUUCAGCUCUGUCGGAAUCAUUUUGAUUGGUGGUGCAUGUUUAACAGCACUUUAAGAAUGUGAUGCCCCUGUUAAACAUUAUACUCUUCGAUAUAAACAACAAACAUUAUCAAAAGCCUGCUUUGUACGAGGUACAAUACCAAGUUGUGAGGCAUCAGGAAGUAUCAAUUAUCUGCCCACAGGAAGUUGGUGCUUUAAUGUGCAAUGCAUGCCGUGUGAGUACACAUAUAAAGUAAAUAAUACACGUUAAACCUCUGCUACCUGCUACGUGAAUUAUAUAGGUUUUAGAGGCAGAAUGUUAAGUCAUGCACCAAAGACAUUUUGACAGGUUUGGGAUGGCUACAAGCCAUUUCCUAGGAAUUAUUCAUAAAGCUUGAGACUAAAAAUGAGGGUUAUGUUAACUUUACAGGAAUAGAGCACUAUGGGCUUUUUGGUCCUAGGGAAUUUCAGGUUGGAGGAACAAUUUUAGCGGGUCCUCAACUGUCCUGAGGACUAAGUCUUUAGUGUCUUCCUCACCCUGAGUUUCUCUGACUAGUCAAUAGCAUGACCAUCCACCAAACUUCUCAAUCAAAACCUUAGGUAUCAUUCUUGAUGCAUCCUUAUCCCUCAUCCCUCACAGCAAAUGUACCAGCAGUCCCACUGCUGCAGUCUGUGAACAGUUUUUGCACACUCCCAGCUGCCUGUUGCCCCCUCACCCUGGUCCAAGCCCAUUAUCCUGCCCCCAGAUAUGGGCCUCUCCUGCCUGGACAGCCACAGCCCCUCCUAGCUCACCUCCUUGAUUCCAUUGCUUCUAACAUCCACUUCAUUCUUUCCAUUGAAUAAUAAUUGUAAAUCAUAAGUCAGAUGAUGCCACUCUCAUGUCAUAAAACCUUGGACGUUUUUCUGUUCCUCUUUAAAAGAAAAGUCCGGUUUCUCCCCAGAAUAUAAACAAGGCCCUGCAGGAUCCACCUUGUGCCAUCUUCUGAACCGCUUUUCUUUAUUUUACUAUAUCGUAGCCAUGGUGAUGUCCUUUCAUUCCUAAGAUAAAAUAGUCUCUUUCCAUUUAGAAGUUUUGCACUUGCUCUUCCUUCUGCCUGGCAUGCAGUUCCUCUGGCUCUGUGUGUGCCUGCCUCCUUCUGUCCUUUCGGUCUCAGCUCAGUCGUCACACUCCCAGCUCAAAUGCUCCCUGACAGCCCUAUCUAACGUAACUCCCCUCAGCUGUCCUCUACAACGCCACCCUGUUCAUUUUUUCCUAGCACAUCUCGGAAAAUGGCAAACAUCCAGUUUCUUUUUUUGUUAUUGUUUACUUAUUUAUUAUUUGUUUCCUCAACAGGCUUCUUAACUCUAGGAGGGUAAAAAUCUUGUGUUUUGUAUUUAUUACUGUAUCUUCAGUAAUAUCACAGUGUCUUGGAUUACUCAGGAACCAUUUGUAAAGUGAACACAGAAUGUGGCUUAUAUAAGCAGAGGGAGGAGAAAGGGGCACUGCAGGCUGCGUGAGAGGGUGAGCAGAGAUCUGGGCGCUGAGUAGUGCCUAGCAGGUAGGAAGCAGCAUCCGAGUCCUGCUCUCUGGACAGGCAAAGCCUGGCAGGAAUGUUGACCAGGGUUGGAGGUUGGGGCCUGGGGCUGGGCCCUAGUGACUGACAAGGGAAAUAGUGUAAAUGGUAAGUGCAAGUUAUGUUCAGAGAAGAGAACAAGAGAUGAACAGCAGAAGAGCCCUGUUAAGCCUGAGAGGGUGAGUCCAGGGUUCUAGAGAGAAGGUACCAGAGAACAUCUGGGGAAGUGUGUAUGGAGGGCAAGGGGUAAGUGCCCAAUAGUUCAGGAUGUGUGGUUUGUGAAAAAAUCAGAGCACUGUUCUUGUUGGGAGUAACUGUGCACCUGUGUACAUGGUACACAAUUUUAUUCCAAUUGUACUGGGAUAUAAAUUUGGAAAGUAAAGCUACUUAUAGAAGGUCUUGGAGUAAGAGCUAUGGGACUAGGAUUAACCUUGCAGUCAGUCAAUGGGAAGCUACUAAAGAAAGAUUUUCAAUCCGUGAUUUGAUAAGGUUGCUCUUACAGGGGUGCUAUUGGUGAGAAAUGCUCUGGGCAGAGAGGACAGGUAGGAGAGAUUGUAGUUGUCCAGCCAAGAGCUUCUGAAAUACAUUUCUAAUGCUGUCCCACUUGAGAAGCAUGGGCUUUAUGUGUCUGUCCUAAGUCGCAAGUAAAAACUAUUCAAAGGGAUUGAUGCAGUGAAGGGCAUGAGGACCUGGACUUUGGGGAGCUUCAGGAGAAGGGUCAGCAGGAACAUGACAGUAUCUCUUCUCUGCCGCUCCUUGGCUUCCAUGUCGACACCGCCUUCGUGGUAGUGCCAUGUUCAGCACCGACACCUCUUGCAGCCUCUUCCUCUGACUCUUCUCUAAGCUGAUGGAUAAGGGGACAGAAGCCUGUAGAGCCGGACUGCACUAUCACCACCCAUCAGUAGGUGCCACCUUCCCACAAGUGAUUUACCCCACUCUGAGAGUCUAGCCUACAGCUUGAAAUUAAUAUUUCAUUUUAUCCCAUAUGUAUUUUGUGUUCUCCACAAUUAUAAAUAUUUAUUGAGGAUACAUGAAAUCAAAGCAAAUCUUUUUUUUUUUUUUUUGCUAAAUCAAGUUACUUACAAGGAUCUGGUCACAUUUUAUUCAGAAUUCUGUUGUUUAAUGAUACUUUUCUACAAUUAAUAGACUGCUUAUUUUUAGCUACUCUGAUAUUACAUUAAUUAUUUUGGUAAUAUUUUUAUCUGGUAGAUUACAGACCAGAUAAAAUUUUCUGUUUUAGAACCAGAAAAAAUAUGGUUCAUGUACUUUGUCUUUACUUUUUUUCUCCAUUUAAUAUUUCCACCACCACAGACAGUUUUGCAGCACAGUCCUGGUACAGAGUAAACUAAUCUCUCCUUUUAAAAAGAAACACCCGCAAAUACCACCAUGCGCCUGGGUUCAGGAUCUUAUAUAUGAUAUGUUUUUAAAAAUUUGAAAUAAAACAUGGGUAGGGGCUUAUUAUUUUAGAGUGUGUUGUAUUAGAUAUAUUUACAUUUGGGUACAACAUUAGCAAUAAAAUAGAAAAAAGACAAGAGAUAAAUGUCUAGGUGUAUAUAAUACCUCCAUAGUUUCAAAUUGAAUUACACGAAUUGAUAAGUAAUAUACUUAAUAUUUUUAAACUGUAUGUAUUCUAAUUGAUCUCUGGAAGUGAAAUGACGAGUAUGCAAGACUGGGAAUUAAUAGGGGCCCCUGCGGCUGUGCUCAGGAAGAGCCAGCUCAUGCCUGACAGCUGGUUCUACUCUGUGCAGUGUCUUACAUGUUAUUCCCGCACCUUCCCAUUUGAAAAUUCAUUUGAAAUGGCAGAGAUAAUAUUUUAUAUUUUAGUGUGUAGGUGAAAUGCACUAUUUUCCUUACUCUCACGCUUUAUUUCCAGCUACCAAAUGUGUAAGUUUUUCUCCCAUUGACCAAUUCUUCACCACCAGCUGGGUGUCUGACAAUUUAAGUCAAUUCUGACACUAUCUACCUGGCGAUAGCAUCAGGUAUCGCCGGUUAAGGGCUCAGUCCCACAAGACUGCUCCCUCUCUUCGCAUGCCAAUUCUAAAUCCAGGCCGUUAUCUGGGCUUCUGACUGACUGGCUAUAAAUCUGAGGUUCCUGUGACACCCCCCACCCCCUGAGUCUGAUAACUUGCUAGAACAUCUCACAAAAUUCAGGAAAAACAGUUUGCUUACUAAAUUACAAAUUGAUUACAAAUGGAUGCAGCCCCCAGAACAACUAGAUGGAAGAGAUGCUCAGGACAAGGUGAGUGGGGAGAGGUGUGGAGCCAAGUGGAAGCUCUUCAAACACCGUACUUUAGGGACUUUUAUGGAAGCUCAAUCACAUUGGUGUGUGCAGUGGAUUGUUACCCCAUUUCCUGGCCUUCUUUCCUCUCUGGAGAGUGGGGAGUAGGAGCUGAGAGUUUCAAACUUGUAACCAUGACUUGGUCUUUCUGGGGAUAAGUCCUCAUCCAGAAAUCCACCAAGAGUUGCCUCAUUAGUACAAAAGACUCCUGUCGUCCAGGAAAUUGCAAGGGAUUUAGGAGCUCUCUGUCAGACACUCCUGUCACUCCAAAAAUUAUAAGGGUUUUUAGGAGUUUCUUGUCAGGAACUGGGGUGAAAGACCAAAUAUUAGCUGGAACAGGCGGAGAGACCAAUCUAUAUACAUUUCCUACUAUCUCAGACUUAGUUAUUUGAAAAGUAGGACAUCUGAUAUUUGCUUGCUUGUUCAGAAGCUGCAGUACGCACACAUGGGUGUCUUCUAUCCUGGUGUAAUCUUAUGUGCUGUGUCACUGGUGUUAAUGCGCCACUUCUACCAGUAGGGAAAUGGUCCCUGUUUUAUUUGCUGCUGUGAAAGUCUCAAAACAUGUGACUGUCCAUGUGAACACUCUGUGCAGAUUAAAGCUGCAGGGCAUGAUUGGAGGAGAUGCAGGCUGCCAAGCCACCGAGGCGGCUAAGAAGGCGGCCCCUGCCAACGACAGCAUGGGAUUAUGUAACGCCUGCAGUGUCUGGCACUGAGCUCCACUGGAGACACAUCACGUGUCGUGCAAUGCUCUUAGCCCUGAAAUUCAAUUAGAUUGCUCUGAAUGAUCCGGAUCGAACCCACAACCUUUUGAUAUACAGGGCGAUGCUCCAACCAGCUAAGCCACCCUGCCAGGGAAUUGGCUGAGACUUCUUGACGUCUUUUCACAAAAGAAGAUCUGGGAUGGAGGAGGAAAAGUAAUAGUAAAUGAUGAAAAAUUGAGACCUUGGAAAGAGGUUGAAGAUUAGUUUAUCAUACGAAGGCCUUAAAAAAAUCACCGGGAAACAAACAAAAUCAAUGAUGUGAGCUUGACCUCCCAGCGCCUUCUACCCUCAUUUUUCUCCAAAUAGAAUUUAAGGUUUCAGACAAAGGCCCUGGUGAGAAGUUGAUAUUCAUUAAAAUUGUUUGGGACAUUGAGUUGAAACCAAAGACACCAAGUUGCAACAUUAUGCAGAGGACUUCCAUUUUGUUAGACCAGCGGGGAUUAGGUGUACAGCUGCUUUGGGAUUUGGGGUGAAGAUUUCUUGAAUUGGAGCAAAAUCAGUGCUAUUGAUUUUUCCUCCUGUUGCGAAAAGGCUUUUAUUUUACUCGUAUCCUUUGAAAACCUUAUUAGGACAUGAACUUGCUCAAAAUAAACCAAUAUUUUAACUUUAAUGUAAAUGGAUAUUCAUGAGAGGGCUGUUCACAGCAUGUCAUAAUAAAACACAGAUAUUGACAUGUUUUGUUUCAAUAGAUUAUCUAAAUUUUGUUUCAGAUUUAACAUGCAUAUGCAUCUCUUUUUCAUUUAAUUUUUCUAACUAUCUGCAGUAGGUAUUCCAUUUACCCAAAGGAAAGCCUGAUGGGUAGAGAGAUACCAUGAGCUUUCCAGGGUCACUUCAAGCAGGGGACUGGACAGAGGUUCUAAAACAAAACGUAAUCAUUUUCAUCCCACUAUACUACUGGUCUCCAAAUGCUGUUCCAUGGACUGGUGACAGGCUGGCCCAUAUUUCAUGGAAAUCCUAUUUUAUUAUGCCUACAGUGACAUUCUGGGAAGCUAUCAUUUGUAAAUCCCAUCCCAGGUGAUUAUGAUGCAAGAUCAGAAUUGCUAGCUACUACUGGUCUAAUAUUCUGAGCCAUAGAGAUAGCAUUAAAACAUCUCUAUUGGCUUUUUAACAGAAGCUGUACUUCUGUUCUGUGUAUAUGUAUGUGGGUAUACAUAUAUAUGUAUUUCUAGUCAUCCUUGUGAAGAUACAUACAUAUAUAAAAUACUGCACAUUCAAACCCAAACUGUAAAACCACAGUUCGUUAUUUUUUGUUUCUUGGUUAAACUUUAACUGAAAAUACAUCUUUCUAGAAUAGACAUAAAACAGCCUGUGGCUACCACAGACUAUUUAUAGUAGCCAAAAGAAAAGAGUGGGAAGUAUAAUUCAAUAAAUAGCAUCUGUUGUUAGAAGACUAGCCUCUAGGUCUUAAAUGGAUGCUAGCUGUUGUAACUUUGUUCAGUGAGUGAAUUCAGAGUUGGUGUAAUGAGUCGGUGAUGGAGGGAUGGCUCGUUGUCAUUAUUAGCGACUGUGACUUGCUGCUGCAUCUUUACGAAAUUGAAAGAAGAGACCAGCUCAUCCCCUACCCUACCAUCAUUGAACCUAUUUUUACUGUUUUCCCUUUCCUGUUUGCAUCUCUAGAAGGUGACGUAUGACCCAUCGCUGCUGGGCCUGGGGCUCUGUGAGAUCUUUCCUCUCUUUGUCCUUCCCUGUGCGUCUGCAUCUUUCUGCAAGAUCAUGUUUUGGGCCACAGAUACGCGUUUUGAAGGGGAAUGUUUGCAAAAGCUAAAUUGAUUCUGUGAACCUGCAUAUUUUGACCAAAGCACCAUGACUCAGGCUUUGGAUAGAAUCCAGUGGGAACUCUGCGUGCACUGAAUCUGAAAAAUUUACAAUUCUACAGUUAAUAACCAGGGUACAGACAACUUUCAGAACCUAUACUUUCUAGAAACAUUCUUAAUGGUAUCCACUGUCAGAGUACAUUUACCAAGGAUAUGACUGACAGCUAUUAAGACAUUUUUCACUUAAUAUGUAGUCUUUAUGUAAUACUAGCAUUACAUAAAAACAGCAGUAGUUUUUCAAGCAUUGCGCUUAUGCAAAAGUAAGUAAUAGUGAAGUGCGUUAUGAUUUUAUGAACCUCGGUCAUGAAUGAAUAAACUUUUCUUUGUAGAAGAAUUAACUGUUCAUGUCAGCUUUGCAUAACUAUAGAAAAUGCACCACCUCACAAAAAUGUUUCAGGUAAUAAAAUAAAUGAAAUCAUCAUUAUCCAGGUUGGUUAGGGGGAGUUUCUUUGUGAGGAUUUCUAUUAUGGGAAGGGAACUAUUCAAGGGCAGACUCUGUUCUUUUUAAAUGUACUUUUUUUCACAGUGACUCAUAUUGUUACAUUGAUGUGAUGAU